UACAGAGGUCCCAAGCGUUGUUCGGAUUCACUGGGCGUAAAGGGUGCGUAGGUGGUCGGGUAAGUCUGAUGUGAAAUCUCCGGGCCUAACCCGGAAACUGCAUCGGAUACUAUUCGGCUAGAGGGUUGGAGGGGGGACUGGAAUACUUGGUGUAGCGGUGAAAUGCGCAGAUAUCAGGAGGAACACCGAUGGCGAAGGCAGUGGGCUGGGCCGGCACUGACGCUGAGGAGCGAAAGCGUGGGGAGCGAACAGG
RNAcentral lists this ribosomal RNA (253 nucleotides) under uncultured bacterium. Its description in RNAcentral is "partial 16S ribosomal RNA". It matches the Rfam family "Bacterial small subunit ribosomal RNA", at positions 524 to 776 of the family's 1533-position model. The record is from RNAcentral.